RNAcentral lists this ribosomal RNA (474 nucleotides) under uncultured bacterium. RNAcentral describes it as "SSU rRNA". It matches the Rfam family "Bacterial small subunit ribosomal RNA", at positions 26 to 518 of the family's 1533-position model. The record is from RNAcentral.
AGAUUGAACGCUGGCGGCAUGCCUUACACAUGCAAGUCGAACGGCAGCACGGGGGCAACCCUGGUGGCGAGUGGCGAACGGGUGAGUAAUGCAUCGGAACGUGCCCAGUAGUGGGGGAUAACUAGUCGAAAGAUUAGCUAAUACCGCAUACGACCUACGGGUGAAAGCUGGGGACCUUUACCGGCCUCGCGCUAUCGGAGCGGCCGAUGUCUGAUUAGCUAGUUGGCGGGGUAAGAGCCCACCAAGGCAACGAUCAGUAGCUGGUCUGAGAGGACGACCAGCCACACUGGGACUGAGACACGGCCCAGACUCCUACGGGAGGCAGCAGUGGGGAAUCUUGCGCAAUGGGCGAAAGCCUGACGCAGCAACGCCGCGUGGGGGAUGAAGGCCUUCGGGUUGUAAACCCCUUUCAGCAGGGACGAAAUUGACGGUACCUGCAGAAGAAGCCCCGGCCAACUACGUGCCAGCAGCCGC